RNAcentral lists this long non-coding RNA (314 nucleotides) under Setaria italica (foxtail millet). RNAcentral's name for it is "long non-coding RNA (SITA_LNC006973)". Lineage: Eukaryota; Viridiplantae; Streptophyta; Magnoliopsida; Poales; Poaceae. The record is from RNAcentral.
CGCACCAGCAGAACAGGCAUGACUCUGACAUGAAGAUGAUGUCGAACUAACACUGCUCAACCUUAAGUGCCCCAUUUCCUGGUUGGGCUGGAGAGGAAGCUGCUGAUGGUUGGUUGGUACUUCUGCCAUGGAUGAUCCUUUUGCGUCGUCUGCUCUGAUCAGUGACGGUGUAUCUGCUAUAGCUAAGCUAGCUAGGAGAGUUAGGGUUCAUGGUCUCACCUGCUGUUGUUUCCCCCCCAAGUAAGAUUAAUUUAAUUCGAAUUAGCCGCCGUUGUAAUGCUGUAGCGUUGUCCUAAAGUCUGUCAGCCCCUAAC